This 34-nucleotide ribosomal RNA is filed under the name Fomitopsis cf. meliae 5V_3_3. RNAcentral's name for it is "partial 28S ribosomal RNA". Lineage: Eukaryota; Fungi; Basidiomycota; Agaricomycetes; Polyporales; Fomitopsidaceae. The record is from RNAcentral.
GACCUCAAAUCAGGUAGGAUUACCCGCUGAACUU